Suricata suricatta (meerkat) is the source of this 992-nucleotide long non-coding RNA. RefSeq lists it as uncharacterized. Lineage: Eukaryota; Metazoa; Chordata; Mammalia; Carnivora; Herpestidae. The record is from RefSeq and is a predicted model, not a curated record. The transcript is spliced from 6 exons.
AAGAGACACCAAAGCUCUCUCUCUGCUGUGAGGACACAAGAAAGCACUAUCUGCAAGCCAGGAAGAGGGCUCUCCCAGAUCCCAACCAAGCUAGUGCCCUGAUCUCAGACUUCUAGCCUCUGGAACUUUCCUUGGUAGGGGAAGACCAACAUGGUGGAGAAGUCGGGGAAUCCAUACUUCCUGCCUCUCUCAAACAAAGAAGAGCUGACACCAAAGGACUUUGAACUGAGAGUCUGAGAGGAAAAGAGACUGAGUCAUCAACCAGGGAGAAACUGGGACAACUUGACGGGCCAUAGGUGGUGAUUGUGAACUGAGGAAGAUAAAAUGGGCCACGUGUUAUGCUGAGACCAUGGAUUCCCCCAAGGACCACCAGGAGUCCCAGUCACGCUCAGGAAGGGUCGAAUGCCCUCGUUCUCAGCUGGCUGGAGCAAGGGGAGGAUCAAAGGCUGGAGGGCCCUAGAGGUGGCUUCCUGCUACCUGUCAUGCCACCCCCUCCGGAGACCUGUAAGGGGCCGCCAUUCCAUCUCACCGUGUAGCAAGAAUUUUGCUCUGAAGUCUCCACCAACUACCCCAGGGAGCAGAGGCAAAAAUCUGAGCAGAAAAUGUUGGGCGGUGUUCUUGGUGUGUGGCCCUCCUAUCUGAUGAGAGAAAAGGCCUGCUGUCAUGGCCCACCACUGUGCAGAAAAGAAGGAAAUGGACAUCUGGCAAAGUCAGAAAAAACUCAGAAUGGGAAGAACUUCCCAAGCUCUAUCAGAGGUACUUCUAACCUGCCAAGGCCACCUUCUAGAAGGAGCAGGAGAGGCCUCAUGUACUUUCAUAGAGAGUCAUGGCUACCUCCAAGUUAAGUAUCAUUUUCUCAUCUGUAUCAAAACAUGACUAAGCCAGGAUUCAAACCUGUCAAACUGCAAAGCCUAAGGUAAAUUUUAACCUGUGGCCUAUGAAUGUGAAAAUUUCUGUCUUCUCCCCAUCUACUCCCUAUGGUGGGGAAAGCA